This 546-nucleotide ribosomal RNA is filed under the name uncultured Glomus. RNAcentral's name for it is "SSU rRNA". It matches the Rfam family "Eukaryotic small subunit ribosomal RNA", at positions 548 to 1098 of the family's 1831-position model. The record is from RNAcentral. Lineage: Eukaryota; Fungi; Glomeromycota; Glomeromycetes; Glomerales; Glomeraceae.
UUGGAGGGCAAGUCUGGUGCCAGCAGCCGCGGUAAUUCCAGCUCCAAUAGCGUAUAUUAAAGUUGUUGCAGUUAAAAAGCUCGUAGUUGAAUUUCGGGAUUAGUACGUUGGUCGUGCCUUCGGUACGUACUGGUGUUACUGAUUCCUACCUUCUGACGAACCAUCAUGUCAUUAAUUUGGUGUGGUGGGGAAUCAGGACUGUUACUUUGAAAAAAUUAGAGUGUUUAAAGCAGGCUCGCGCUUGAAUACAUUAGCAUGGAAUAAUGAAAUAGGACGUUGACCCUAUUUUGUUGGUUUCUAGGAUUGACGUAAUGAUUAAUAGGGAUAGUUGGGGGCAUUAGUAUUCGAUUGUCAGAGGUGAAAUUCUUGGAUUUAUUGAAGACUAACUACUGCGAAAGCAUUUGCCAAGGAUGUUUUCAUUAAUCAAGAACGAAAGUUAGGGGAUCGAAGACGAUCAGAUACCGUCGUAGUCUUAACCAUAAACUAUGCCGACUAGGGAUCGGAUGAUGUUAUUUUUAAUGACUCAUUCGGCGCCUUACGGGAAAC